RNAcentral lists this ribosomal RNA (1062 nucleotides) under Triticum aestivum (bread wheat). Its description in RNAcentral is "partial small subunit ribosomal RNA". The record is from RNAcentral. Lineage: Eukaryota; Viridiplantae; Streptophyta; Magnoliopsida; Poales; Poaceae.
AUGGAUCGCAAAGGAUCAACAGGUCCUCUCAUAUCUGCUAAACUCUAUGACACCAGAAAUUCUUGGAUAGGUUGUUGGGAAGGAAUCCACCUUCGAGCUUUGGACAACCGUGACAAUGCUCUUCGCUUCCCAGUCGCAGUCCAGGAUCACAAACUUGAGGAUUGGAUCACCACAACCAAGAAGGGCUCUAUGUCAAGCUCUGCUUUCAUGUCGAAGAUGAAGAAUCUUGCAGAUGAACUAGCUGUUGCUGGCCGUCCGGUGUCAGAUCCGGAGAUGGUGGACUAUAUCUUGGCAGGACUAGAUCGUGACUAUGAUCCGGUGGUUGCGGCAAUUGGUGUUGUCAAGAAUCAGAUUACGCCAGAUGAUCUUUUUGCGCAAAUCUUCGCCUUUGACCAGAGGAUGGAGAUGCUCGGCGAUCCAUCAUCAGGCAGCUUCCACACUUCUGCUAAUGCGGCGUACAGAGGCCGUGGCCAAGCUCGUGGAAGAUCCUACCGCGGGCGAGGAGGAAGGGGGCGCGGUCGUGGCGAUCUACAGCCCUCUCCUGCCGGUGGAGGCGGCGGCAACAGAGGACGUUCUCGACAACAACAGCAGCUCGGGCGUGAUCAACAGCAUGACUACCCUGAAUGUCAGAUCUGUCUUAAACAUCAUCCAGGGGGUGCACGCUCAUGUUGGUGGCGCUAUGAAGAAAACGACCAGGAGGAGAAGGGGGCACAUGCUGUCUCCUACGGUGUGGAUACGAAUUGGUAUGCUGACUCCGGAGCUACAAACCACAUUACCGGCGAACUUGACAAGCCGACAAUGCGGGAAAGGUACAAUGAAGGCGAUCAAAUUCACACGGCAAGUGGUUCAGGUAUGGAGAUCACACAUAUUGGCAGUACGAUUGUUAAAAACCCCGUAAAACAUCUGCACUUGAAAGAUGUCUUACAUGUUCUCGAAACAUUCAAAAAUCUUAUUUCUGUCCAUAGAUUCACUCUUGACAACAAUGUUCUUAUAGAGUUUUAUCCUCACUUUUUCUUGGUUAAGGACCUAGCAACAAGGAGAAUCAUUCUUAGAGGACGGUGA